ACCUUCCGGAAGUCAGGGCCGCGGCGCUUCUGGUCCCGGAGACUUGGGGCUCCCGGGCUUCUGAGCGGCUCGGGUUCCGCGCUGCCGGCAGGGCUUGGGGGCGCCUUAGAGCCGAACCCCGUUUUUUCAGGAAAGGGCGCUGCGACCACCCCCGUCCCGGGCCUCAGCCCCUCUGCUGCAGACCCUCGGGAUCGUCGCUGGAAAGAUUCUGAAGCUUGGCGGAGAGGGGUGUGUGAGUGGACACCAGUGAAGUAACGGUUUUUGUGUUACGAUGAUUUCUGUUUUCCUCUGCUGCCCUGUAAUGGCAGGAACUCGGAUAGUCUGGUCUUCAGACCAGGAGGACUCCCAGGAGAGAACGGAGAGCCAGUGUGCUGUGUGUCACGGUCCCUGGAUGAACGUUUGUGGAACUGGAUUGAAUUAAACAAGACGUGCAAAGCAAGUGGUUCACGAGGGUCUUGCUCCGUCGCCCAGUCUGGAGUGCAGUGGCAAGAUCUCUGCUCAGUGCAGCCUUGAACUCUCAGGCUCAAGAAAUCUUCCCGCCUCAGCCUCCCAAAGUGCUGGGAUUACAGGUGUGAGCCACUGUGCCCGGCUAUAGCUAACAUUUUAUUUUUACAACCAAAAAAGAAAUAAAAAGGGAAAAUAAGGAAAAAUA
Long non-coding RNA from Homo sapiens (human), 652 nucleotides. Ensembl annotates it as PSMG3 antisense RNA 1 (head to head). Its record names the gene PSMG3-AS1. The record is from Ensembl. Lineage: Eukaryota; Metazoa; Chordata; Mammalia; Primates; Hominidae.